Molecule: ribosomal RNA, 465 nt
Filed under: uncultured bacterium
Lineage: Bacteria
Description: partial 16S ribosomal RNA
Rfam family: Bacterial small subunit ribosomal RNA
Source: RNAcentral
GACGAACGCUGGCGGCGUGCUUAACACAUGCAAGUCGAACGGAAAGGCCCUUUUGGGGGUCCUCGAGUGGCGAACGGGGGAGUAACACGGGAGAAACCAGCCCUUGCUAUCGGGUCAACGUGAGGAAAGUGGGGAUAAUACCGGAAAUACAUCAUAGCAGCUAGGUGGGGGUUGGGAAGCUUUUGGGGCUUUGGAUGUUCUCGCGGCUUAUUGGCUUGUUGGCGGGGUGGUGGGUUACCAAGGCACUGAGGGGUAGCUGGCCAGUGAGGGUGACAGGCGGCAUUGAGACUUAGAGGCGGCACAGACGCCGACGGGUGGCAGAAGGGGGGAAGAUUGCACAAGGGGCGGAAGCCGGAUGCAGCAGCGCCUCGGGCGGGAUGGCGGCCUUGGGGUUGUAAACCGCUUUCAGCAGGGGCGAAGCUUGUUGUGACGGUACCUGCAGAAGAAGCACCGGCUAACUACGUG